This 737-nucleotide long non-coding RNA is filed under the name Capsella rubella. RNAcentral describes it as "long non-coding RNA (CRUB_LNC001825)". The record is from RNAcentral. Lineage: Eukaryota; Viridiplantae; Streptophyta; Magnoliopsida; Brassicales; Brassicaceae.
UAGAUUGGAACACGAAUUCAGCUUCGAAGCCAUGACACUGAAAGCUAAUAUUGUCCCAGCUCACACAUGAACUUGUCUCUUUUCUUUUUCCCCAUUUUGCGUUAAAAUAUUUAUGAACGAUCGUGAAAAACCAUUACUCUUUAUUGGUCCAAACUUUUUUUUACAGUCCAUAUGUCAUCCUUUUUGCCCACCUAAUAUAAGAGCACACUGUUCAAGGCUGAUCUUUAGACGAGUAGCAUAUAAAUUCAUUGAUACAAAUAACAUAAAACAUGAUUCAGAUGAGAGAGUAUGUAUAAGAUAGAUCAUGGAUAUCUAAAUUUUGCUAAACGCAUUAUAAACACAACUUUUUGCAUGGAAAUAUCUAUUAUAUUGUUCCACUUCCAUUAGAUCACCUAGUAUAAUUUUAGUAAAUCGGGGAUUAAAUACAAAUUAAAGUUAGACAUUUUUACUUAUCUGUUUUGAUUAUUUUUAGUUCAAAGAAUAAAAAAUAAAAUAAAAUGGAAAAACAUGACACGUUUAUCAGUCCACGUUAUAUAUAAAUAUGGCCAUCAUGUACCCGUAACGUUACCAUUGAAAACAAAAAACACUGAUUGGGUUUUGUCAUAAAAACAAAACAAGAAGAAGAAAGAAGCGAUAAAAAAUCUGAAAACUUGUGAUAGUGUUUACUCACAGAUAAUGAAAAUGAAAUCGACCGUCGUCAUGAGUUUCCUCAUCAUAUACCUCCUCCUUGCAGUGCC